UUUUGUCUUUAUAAGAAGAGGAAGAUCGACCAGAGCUCUCUCUCUCUUCUCUAGGCAUGUGCUCUGAGAAAAGGUCAUCUGAGGACAAAGUACCCGUCUGCAAGCCAGGAAGAGAGCCCUUGCCAGAAACUAAACCCCGCUGGAAACUUGAUUUUGCGCUUUCCAGCCUCUAGAACGGUGGACACCGAAAUUCUUUGCCUGAAAACCUUUUAAAAAUAUGAAAACAAGACAAAAAAUGGCUGGGUUUUCUUUUAGAGUGGCAAUGUCAUUUGUCCAGAAGGGGGAGCUCUCAGUCCGCAUGCAGCGGAGCAAGGCAGACAGUCUGGUAUCUUAUCUGCUGCUUGGGAAAUUGUCUGACAGGAAAAUAUCAACACAAACCAUGCGAUUUGCCGCUGGAGCACGCUGGACCUCAUCUGCUUAAAAAGAUGCACGGAUAUAGUCAUCACAGUUCAUAAUUUAAUAAACUGCUAAAAAAACCACAGAAUAUGUGAAAAACAUUUAAAUCAGAAAGUAAAUGACAGGAUGAUUUGCAAGACACAGGGAUGUAAAAUUAAAAAGCCUCUCGAGCUCCAAAGAAGCAGAUUCUGCUUUGCUCUAUUUGUGAAAGACAACUGGAUGAGUAAAGAUUACUACUUGCAAGGAGACUAGCAAUUUAUCCAAAAUUGGAAACAGAGAAAACGGCAUCUUCUUUUCACUCAUUCUGACUCAAAAUGGGUGUAGCUCAUCAGAGUACAUCGUUACAUUUUCGGGACUUUUGCUACCUGGCUCACAUCACUUUGGUAGCUUGAACUCUGCCAUGAUUGGGAAUAUUUACACCACAAAAAUGGGCUAAUCUCCUAGGAAUGGAUUCUAGGACGGCAUCAGCAGGGGGAUGCAUCAGGACGAUAAUUCCAAGAGUUCAAUGGUGAAUUUCCUUGGCUUCCACUGAUAUCAUGUUGAAUUUUUCCCAAUGGUAAUCUUAUGAUGGCUGCAGCUACCUGUUAACUUCAACAAGCACACUGGCCUGGAGACUACAUGAUGGUGUAUCAGUAAUGGUGCCUCUCCAUCAUUGCCCAUCAAAGACAUUUCUGAUGCUCCAGAAGGAUACCCUUGAGGUCAUCCUGUUCUCACCUCCAAUAUUCAUUAUGAUCUCUAACAUCACUAUAUACAACAUUUUUGUAUAUAUAGAGGAUUUACAACUGCAAACAUCUCAAGCAGCAGUGCCACAUCCCUGCUACCUCCCUGCUUGUGCGUGUGUCCCUACAUUAUCCAAAAUAGGGGUGGGCUAAUGACGAUUGCAGGCUAACUCCAGCCUACCACUUGCUUCUAUAAAUAAAGUCUUAUUGUACACAAACAUAGCCAUUUAUUUA
This 1349-nucleotide long non-coding RNA is filed under the name Homo sapiens (human). RNAcentral's name for it is "long non-coding RNA NONHSAT204439.1". Lineage: Eukaryota; Metazoa; Chordata; Mammalia; Primates; Hominidae. The record is from RNAcentral.